GUCGACGGUAUGGGUAUCUUUCAAGUUGGAUAAAAAAAAUGCAUAACCUCCGAUUUUUAAAACAAAAUUACCACGGACGGAAACCAUAUAUCAAUCUAUCAGUUCAGUAAUUUUCGUGUCUGUCCUUUCAUUAUGUGACUCAAGAAAAAUUCCAAAAAAUGAGUAACAAUAGUAUCGAAAGGAGAAAAUCGAGUGCACCUUUUUAUGUUAGGGCGUGUUUGAGUUGAAUAUUUUGUCUUGAUAUCGUACAAAGCAAGAAUAUUUCAUACAUCGUCUCGCUUCAGAUUCUAUUAUUUUUAUGUAUCAAAGCUACAGGUUGACUUUAUAACAUAAAAAAAUCACAGUACUAAAAGAUGCAAUAUAUGGGUCAAGUGAAAUACCUAUCUAAUGAAUCGCCAAAACAGAGAAGUUGGGUUCGAAUAACUAUUAACUGAAAGUACUUGACGAAAAAUUAUAAUUUUUUUGUGUGUGAUAACUAGGGUUUAUAGUCUUCAACCACUAAACAAAUCUAGUCUGCCCUUCCACGAAAUAUUUAAUUAGAAUUUU
RNAcentral lists this long non-coding RNA (546 nucleotides) under Mytilus galloprovincialis (Mediterranean mussel). Lineage: Eukaryota; Metazoa; Mollusca; Bivalvia; Mytilida; Mytilidae. The record is from RNAcentral.